Molecule: ribosomal RNA, 32 nt
Filed under: Rhizoctonia sp. AG-G
Lineage: Eukaryota; Fungi; Basidiomycota; Agaricomycetes; Cantharellales; Ceratobasidiaceae
Description: partial 18S ribosomal RNA
Source: RNAcentral
UUUCGUAGGUGACCUGCGGAGGAUCAUUAUUG